RNAcentral lists this ribosomal RNA (301 nucleotides) under uncultured bacterium. Its description in RNAcentral is "partial 16S ribosomal RNA". It matches the Rfam family "Bacterial small subunit ribosomal RNA", at positions 509 to 807 of the family's 1533-position model. The record is from RNAcentral.
CAGCCGCCGCGGUAAUACGAGGGGGGCUAGCGUUGCUCGGAAUUACUGGGCGUAAAGGGAGCGUAGGCGGACAUUUAAGUCAGGGGUGAAAUCCCAGAGCUCAACUCUGGAACUGCCUUUGAUACUGGGUGUCUUGAGUGUGAUAGAGGUAUGUGGAACUCCGAGUGUAGAGGUGAAAUUCGUAGAUAUUCGGAAGAACACCAGUGGCGAAGGCGACAUACUGGAUCAUUACUGACGCUGAGGCUCGAAAGCGUGGGGAGCAAACAGGAUUAGAUACCCCCGUAGUCCCUGUCUCUUAUAC